Molecule: non-coding RNA, 109 nt
Filed under: human gut metagenome
Description: Glycine riboswitch
Rfam family: Glycine riboswitch aptamer
About the family: This family represents the bacterial glycine riboswitch. Glycine riboswitches usually consist of two metabolite-binding aptamers domains with similar structures in tandem. The aptamers cooperatively bind glycine to regulate the expression of downstream genes.
Source: RNAcentral
UCUCUGGAGAAUCCCGCGAAAAGCGGGUGCCGAAGGGGCAAGGUAUGAGCCGAGAGCAAUCUUCGCUUGAUGGCACCGUACCGAAACUCUCAGGCAAAAGGACAGAGUU